This 274-nucleotide ribosomal RNA is filed under the name uncultured bacterium. RNAcentral's name for it is "partial 16S ribosomal RNA". It matches the Rfam family "Bacterial small subunit ribosomal RNA", at positions 523 to 796 of the family's 1533-position model. The record is from RNAcentral.
AUACGAAGGUGGCGAGCGUUACUCGGAAUGACUAGGCGUAAAGGGCAGGUAGGUGGUUUGAUAAGUCGGAUGUGAAAGCCCUGGGCUUAACCUGGGAAUGGCAUUCGAAACUGUCAGACUAGAGUAUGGUAGAGGGAAGUGGAAUUCCGGGUGUAGCGGUGAAAUGCGUAGAUAUCGGGAGGAACACCAGCGGCGAAGGCGGCUUACUGGGCAGUGCCUGACGCUGAGGUGCGAGAGCGUGGGGAGCAAACAGGAUUAGAAACCCCAGUAGUCC